GACGAACCGUACGAACGUUAUUCGGAAUCACUGGGCUUAAAGGGUGCGUAGGCGGCGCGACAAGUUGGGCGUGAAAUCCCUCGGCUCAACCGAGGAACUGCGCCCAAAACUGUCGUGCUCGAGGGAGACAGAGGUGAGCGGAACUUAGGGUGGAGCGGUGAAAUGCGUUGAUAUCCUAAGGAACACCGGUGGCGAAAGCGGCUCACUGGGUCUCUUCUGACGCUGAGGCACGAAAGCUAGGGUAGCGAACGGG
RNAcentral lists this ribosomal RNA (253 nucleotides) under uncultured bacterium. RNAcentral describes it as "partial 16S ribosomal RNA". It matches the Rfam family "Bacterial small subunit ribosomal RNA", at positions 524 to 776 of the family's 1533-position model. The record is from RNAcentral.